UUUUUUUGUUGUUUUCUUGAUCCAGGUACACCUUUGCUGUAUGCGAACUCGAUCAACAGGCAACCAGAACCUCUUUUCCAACAAUAACAUCGACCGCAUAGCUCGCGAACUCAGAGAAAAGAGAAACACAGUCAACCUUGUACAACACCAAUAACCACUCAAAAUUUCUGAUGAACAAAAUCAACAGAAUGACCCUGCAAAAUUAAGAGUGGUCUCGAUUAUUCAGGGGAGC
This 232-nucleotide small RNA is filed under the name Arabidopsis thaliana (thale cress). RNAcentral's name for it is "ATSL271000". Lineage: Eukaryota; Viridiplantae; Streptophyta; Magnoliopsida; Brassicales; Brassicaceae. The record is from RNAcentral.